UCAAAAACCUUUUCUGUAUUUUCUUCGUCUUUUGUUAUCGAGCUGUGAGUCAACUAGGUUUGAGCUUUUAGACCGCUAGAACUAGGUAACUCGUUGACAGCCUUUGCGGCCAAAGCUUUUAUGAUCUCUUGUAAUGAUCGCAACGCUCUCACGCGGACUCGAAAUAAGAUCUACUCUUUUCUCUAAACUCGUUUGUUAUCUUUUCAUGAUUUCCGCAUAUAUUUGGUCACUUGCCGUUGGCUCUCACAGAUAUCCGGGACCUCUGGGAAAUUAGGAUUUUCCUAGUUUCCUAAUUUAAACGUAAAUCGACAGUGCGAAUUUUGGUUCCCACAACGAAGAUAUGCAAACAUAAAACUUUUGCAUGCAAUACUAAGUAUUACUAUAUGCUGAGCGACUGAAAUGAGAAGACAACUCAAACUCUUUAUCUCAACGCGUUAACCAUGACCAUAGCGGUGAUUCUAGUAAAAUCCAAAAGUCCAAUAAACAACAUAUAAGGCUAAGAUUGAGACAACCAAAGGACUGACAUAAAAUGUCAUC
RNAcentral lists this long non-coding RNA (537 nucleotides) under Brassica napus (rape). RNAcentral's name for it is "long non-coding RNA (BNAP_LNC023202)". The record is from RNAcentral. Lineage: Eukaryota; Viridiplantae; Streptophyta; Magnoliopsida; Brassicales; Brassicaceae.